CUCAGUGAGGCUUUCGGACUGGCCCAGAAGAGGUGGGCAACUACCACUCAGGGCCGGAAAGUUAUCCAAACUCGGUCAUUUAGAGGAAAGUAAAAGUCGUAACAAGGUCUCCGUUGGUGAACCAGCGGAGGGAUCAUUA
RNAcentral lists this ribosomal RNA (139 nucleotides) under Colletotrichum coccodes. RNAcentral describes it as "partial 18S ribosomal RNA". It matches the Rfam family "Eukaryotic small subunit ribosomal RNA", at positions 1697 to 1831 of the family's 1831-position model. Lineage: Eukaryota; Fungi; Ascomycota; Sordariomycetes; Glomerellales; Glomerellaceae. The record is from RNAcentral.